AUUUGUGAGGUCUGAUUUUUUUCAAUGAGGCCUUUUGUGAUGCAAAUAUUUACUCUUCUGAAGGCAUAUUGUUUUGAGAAGCCAACUUCUUACUUGUGAAACACCAGCGACUACCUGGAACUACGUUCUUCACCACCAAAAUCUGACCAGAACUGGACUUUGGAGACCAAGUGGGGGGGGAAUAUAUUGAUGGCGAGUUUACCGCGGGGGGGGACGUGUCCUUCACCGAUUCCCAUCCCAUCCUUGCGGUCAUCCAAUCAUCAGUCAGAACUCAGCCAGGACGCAUCCAUAGUAUCAUAGAAAGAUGCCAUCUGAUUGGAUUAUUGGACUACACUUGGCACCAGUAAAAACCUUCAUUUGGGCCAAGGAUCGUCCCGUUUUGUCAGACAGCCAAUCGGAUCCUCUGACUCAGGCUUCAAGUCCCCUCUUUGGACUCCCACAGGGUCUACAAAUGAGGGUCAAGAGGGGAAGUGCCUGGACCGGCAGCUCAUUAAUUGUCAUUUUCGAAGGACAGAGAGUCAAAACACAGCUCUGUGUGCUCAGGCGUAGGCUUUCCAAAUAAGAGGAGGAGAUUGUAUGCUUGUACUGGAACAUGGUAGACCUUAUGUAAUGAGUUGUUUUUCCUGUCUCAAGGCACAUUUUUCAUAGCAGGCGUAAU
Molecule: non-coding RNA, 658 nt
Organism: Doryrhamphus excisus (bluestripe pipefish)
Lineage: Eukaryota; Metazoa; Chordata; Actinopteri; Syngnathiformes; Syngnathidae
Source: RefSeq, a predicted model, not a curated record